This 253-nucleotide ribosomal RNA is filed under the name uncultured bacterium. Its description in RNAcentral is "partial 16S ribosomal RNA". It matches the Rfam family "Bacterial small subunit ribosomal RNA", at positions 524 to 776 of the family's 1533-position model. The record is from RNAcentral.
UACGGAGGGGGCGAGCGUUAUUCGGAAUUAUUGGGCGUAAAGGGCGCGUAGGCGUCUGUACAAGUCAAAGGUGAAAUCCCUCGGCUCAACUGAGGAACUGCCUUUGAAACUGUACGGCUUGAGGCCGGGAGGGGGUAGCGGAAUUCCCAGUGUAGCGGUGAAAUGCGUAGAUACUGGGAGGAACACCAGUGGCGAAGGCGGCUACCUGGACCGGUUCUGACGCUGAGGCGCGAAAGCGUGGGUAGCAAACAGG